AGAGUUUGAUCAUGGCUCAGGACGAACGCUGGCGGCGUGCUUAACACAUGCAAGUCGAACGGAAAGGCCCUUCGAGGUACUCGAGUGGCGAACGGGUGAGUAACACGUGGGUGAUCUGCCCUGCACUUUGGGAUAAGCCUGGGAAACUGGGUCUAAUACCGAAUAUGACCACGCUCUUCAUGGGGUGUGGUGGAAAGCUUUUGCGGUGUGGGAUGGGCCCGCGGCCUAUCAGCUUGUUGGUGGGGUAAUGGCCUACCAAGGCGACGACGGGUAGCCGGCCUGAGAGGGUGACCGGCCACACUGGGACUGAGAUACGGCCCAGACUCCUACGGGAGGCAGCAGUGGGGAAUAUUGCACAAUGGGCGCAAGCCUGAUGCAGCGACGCCGCGUGAGGGAUGACGGCCUUCGGGUUGUAAACCUCUUUCACCAGGGACGAAGCGCAAGUGACGGUACCUGGAGAAGAAGCACCGGCCAACUACGUGCCAGCAGCCGCGGUAAUACGUAGGGUGCGAGCGUUGUCCGGAAUUACUGGGCGUAAAGAGCUCGUAGGUGGUUUGUCGCGUUGUUCGUGAAAACUCACAGCUUAACUGUGGGCGUGCGGGCGAUACGGGCAGACUAGAGUACUGCAGGGGAGACUGGAAUUCCUGGUGUAGCGGUGGAAUGCGCAGAUAUCAGGAGGAACACCGGUGGCGAAGGCGGGUCUCUGGGCAGUAACUGACGCUGAGGAGCGAAAGCGUGGGGAGCGAACAGGAUUAGAUACCCUGGUAGUCCAA
RNAcentral lists this ribosomal RNA (773 nucleotides) under uncultured bacterium. Its description in RNAcentral is "bacterial SSU rRNA". It matches the Rfam family "Bacterial small subunit ribosomal RNA", at positions 8 to 798 of the family's 1533-position model. The record is from RNAcentral.